Molecule: long non-coding RNA, 3683 nt
Organism: Felis catus (domestic cat)
Lineage: Eukaryota; Metazoa; Chordata; Mammalia; Carnivora; Felidae
Exons: 4
Source: RefSeq, a predicted model, not a curated record
ACAGCUGGGUAGGCUCGGGGUGGGCUGGGAGGCUGCAGCCGCCAUUGUGUCUCCGGACCUUGCCAGAGUCAUGGGUGAGAACUAGGCUGCAGGAAGGAUCCAGCAGAAAAAAACCUGGAGUUUUAAACCCAGUGGUUGCCCAAUUAUUUCAAGACUGUUAAAAAUGCAGAGGAGCUGUGGGGUAUCUGAGGCAGGAGAAUGUGUGAGCACAGAAAUUUCCCUCAGAGACUGAAGGUACACGGCAUAAAUGAAUUAUGACAAAACACUGCCUACUGUCUUCCCAGGUGUCCUACGUGUGUGAGAAGAGGGGCAAGGAAGAGGCAUCAAUCAUGAGCACUUUGUGUUGCCCUCAUGAAACUUGGGAGCAUGGGGACCUGAAGCAAGUAACCAUGAAGCUCACCACUGCUUUUGCUGUAAACACCAUAUCAACUCUGCUUUACCCUUUUGGAGAAGACAUCCCUGGCUGACAAGUAACUACCUGACAUGAAGGAAUAUAACUUGUUCAUUUUUUUUAUGCCACAUAGAGCCUAGCACAUUGCUUUGUGUAAAAUAAGCGGGCAGUAAAUGUUUGUUAAAUUGACUUAAACUGAAAUUAAAUGUAAGGUAGAAAUGUUCAGAUUGUAUAAUUAAUUGUAUAUGUCAACAAAGAAAAGUAAUCAUGGAAAAUUAUGAAGUACUGAAUUUAAGAAAGAGGAGUACAAAAAAGGUGAUUAUUUUCAAACGGGCAAAGCUAAGAAAGAAGAUGAAAUUGCUGUCGUCCAGAGUGGGGUAAGAGCAAAGACUUGGUGACAGAAUCACACUUAGGGAGUAUUUGGCAGAAGAAAAGUCAGAAAAGGAAAAAGGGAGUUAAGUGUAAUUAGGGUAGAAGAAGCAAGAUAGUCUGAAGCUAUAGCAAGCCAGUUUUCAAAACUGGGAUGAGGAAAAUUAAAUGAGGGUAUGCACAGAGUCAUUAUUAAAUACCAGUGGAUAUUUGGGGGGAAACUAUAAAAAAUAUACAUUUUACAAAGUUGUUGAAGGCUUUUGUUUGUUUAUUUACUUACUUACAUAUAAGACUUGCAGGAAUUCCCUAGAACAUUCUUAUUUUUUUUCUUUUUUACAUUCUUUAUUUUAAUUUAGCCGACACACAGUUAUCCAUAGUCAUGGAAGAGAAAAAUGUUAAGAUAAGUCAGAGGAGUGGAUAACUCCAAACAUGUAGAAUUGACUCGAAAGCACAUUGUAUAUGAUUUCUGAGGCAGCAAAUUUCCCUUUCAGUGUUUGCUAGAUUUAUAUGAAGAAUAGCUUUUCUUUCUUAACAUAAAACCUGAGUGGUGAAAGGAAAAGAGAACUGGAGUUUGAAAAGCAGUCACGUGCUUAUAUUUGUGGGCUUAUUAUUAUAAGUAUAAAACUGCUUCACAUCGUUCUAAAUGUAAACCCUUUCUGACUUUAUCUAUCUUCACAUUUUACAACAAAGAGAUAAGGUCAUUGGACCAGAACUCAGAUCUAGUUUCUAUUCUUAGCAUCACCACGAACUGUGUAGUGCAGGAGGGAAAUAUUCAGGCCCUUUGUGCCUCAGUUUUCUCACCUAAAAAUGAAGAGAUUGACUAGAUGAUCUCAAUUAUGCCCUCCGGAACAAAAAACACCAUAUAGAUGGUUCUAUUGUUUGGGGGACUAGCCAAAUAACUGGUUUGCAUUUCAUGCGAUUUUUUUUUUUACGAAAUUUUUUGACAUAUGUAAUUACUUCCUUAAAAGCAGAUUUUCUGGAGAAAAAUCUAAGUGGAGAGAUUGAUUACCAGAGCUACAUAACAUGGUAGUUGUGGAAUUAACAGUUACAGGAAUAGCUUUUUAUUUAAAACAAGCUUGGCAUUUUCUAUUUAUUUGGGGUUUUCUUGGUAUUACGGAGGGUGGCUCUUGCCAAUUAGUUCUCACUCCCUAAGACCCUGGAUGAGCUGCGGCAGUGUGCGAGAUUGGUAUUUAAAUCCAAGGCAGCCAGGAAGAAGGAUAUUGAAGCUGGAGUGCCCAGCAAUCUUUCAAAGGGGACAGAUGGAGACUGGUAACUAAAGACGGGAGGAUCCUGACAAAGGAAUGAAAUUAAUUUGGAUAGAACCCCUGGAGAUUGGACAGAGUUAAAUAGUCUAACAGUAGGGGGCUUAUUUUGCAGCCAGAAGUAGUUUUCUUUCUGAAAGAAGAGCCCUUUACACUGGGAAACAUUCUUUCUUCUUCCAUGGCAAUCUCUGUUUGGAGUCUUUAUUCUUGCCUCCCCCUCCUCAAUUUUGUCUUUCUUUGCCUUCGCCUUCAUUCUCUCCCUUCCUUUCUUUUUAACGCAUCCUUUCAUGAUUAGAUUAAUUUGUUUAUGCGGACAAGGCGGAGGAUGAGAGUUUGCACACUGGUAAGAACAGGCUUCCUUUCCCAGUGCACAGUCACGCUGAAAACAUCGAACUCUCCUUUCUGCCUGAUGGAGGUUGUCCGCAACAAAAAAUGACACCUCAUCUCAAAACAAAGGGAAAGGUUCUGAGAACUUUUAAAAUCCUAACUAAUCAAAAUCCUGCUGAGGUGAGGAGAGGGGAGUGUGUGUGUGUGUGUGUGUGUGUGUGUGUGUGUGUGUGUGUAUGGACCCACAGUUCUGAGGGACUAUCAUGGGCAGUCUCAGCAGAGGAGCCUGACGAUAAUAAGACUCUGAUGAGGACUGAUGCCAAAGGCAAAGAGGGUGAGAGGAGGUGCACAGGAGCUCUGCUGCUUCUAAGAGGUAUCUUGAAGUAGGGGACAGAGCCUGUAUGCAGUGUAUUUCUCAAACAGUGCAAUCCUGAUGUUGCCAAGUUCAUAUUCCCAGGAAGUGGGAGUCUGGAGUAGAAGUCUAAAAAUCUCAAUUCUCACCUAAGGUCUGUUCCCUUUUGCUGUGUCAUCCUGAGAAAGUUACUUAACCUCCCUGAGUCUUGGUUUCCUAAAAUAAAAUGGGCACAAUCGUGUUUCUCACAUUUUUUUAGAAAGGCAUAAAAUAGAUCAUCUUUGUGCUGGUGCUUAGAGAGCUGUGUGGUAUCAAAUACAACUUUGAGCAUUAAAUUGCCAUCUGCAAAAUGGGAAUAACGAUACUUACGGGGUUGUGUGAGAAUUUAACGAGAUAACAGAAGCUGGCAUGGGAAAAUGCUCAAUACUUGUUCAUGCCCUUACUUUCCCUCAGGUGUUGGUUAUCUUGGAUAUUUGGGAGAUAGUUAACAGCCUGGUUUGUAUUAAUGACUUUUGAUACUAGAUGAAAACCAUAGUUAAGAGAAUGAAUUUGCUGAAAAUUACAAAAUGCAUUCCUGAGAAAAAUGGAACAGCAUUUAAUAUGAUUUGCUGUAUUUCAGAUUAUCAAUUGGUCAUUGAUAUAGCUAACUCAGAGUUGACUCUAUAUAUGCAAAUGAUUAGCAGGAAAAAAAAGUAUAUAAUUAUAUGAUCUCAUCAGCUUUCAUUAUAACCUUAACUGGUGUCAGGUGGACACUGACCAUUUAGAAUAGACACCUAUCACAGUGCUGGAGCAGGGGCUCAGAGGCACUCUCCUGUGACAUGCAAGACAUUAACCUUUGAAUUGCUGUAUCCUAGGGAAUCUGAAAGGUCUGGGACAGACCCUGGGGAAAACAGGAAGUCCUUGAAGGGGUUUGGGGCAGUGACUCUUUAUUAAGUGGUAUGAAAGUAUUUUGAUAUUUUAUUUUUUUUUAAUGUUUAUUUUU